Molecule: ribosomal RNA, 440 nt
Filed under: uncultured bacterium
Lineage: Bacteria
Description: partial 16S ribosomal RNA
Rfam family: Bacterial small subunit ribosomal RNA
Source: RNAcentral
CCUACGGGGUGCAGCAGUGGGGAAUAUUGCACAAUGGGGGAAACCCUGAUGCAGCGAAGCCGCGUGAAGGAAGAAGUAUCUCGGUAUGUAAACCUCCAUCAGUAGGGAAGAAAAUGACGGUACCUGACUAAGAAGCCCCGGCUAACUACGUGCCAGCAGCCGCGGUAAUACGUAGGGGGCAAGCGUUAUCCGGAUUUACUGGGUGUAAAGGGAGAGUAGGCGGGGCAGCAAGUCAGAAGUGAAAGCCCGGGGCUCAACUCCGGGACUGCUUUUGAAACUGUUGAACUAGAUUGCAGGAGAGGUAAGUGGAAUUCCUAGUGUAGCGGUGAAAUGCGUAGAUAUUAGGAGGAACACCAGUGGCGAAGGCAGUUCACUGGACUGCAACUGACACUGAGGCUCGAAAGUGUGGGUAUCAAACAGGAUUAGAUACCCCGGUAGUC